AGAGUGCAGCUCAGCCAAGGAUGAAUUGCCGGCGUAUGAUUAUAUUUUUAAUUUGUCGGCAAUUUGUCAUUUGGCUAUGUUGGGCUCUUU
This 90-nucleotide microRNA precursor is filed under the name Ipomoea nil (Japanese morning glory). The record is from RNAcentral. Lineage: Eukaryota; Viridiplantae; Streptophyta; Magnoliopsida; Solanales; Convolvulaceae.